This 1051-nucleotide ribosomal RNA is filed under the name Xylariaceae sp. DIS 327e. RNAcentral describes it as "LSU rRNA". It matches the Rfam family "Eukaryotic large subunit ribosomal RNA", at positions 72 to 1146 of the family's 3401-position model. Lineage: Eukaryota; Fungi; Ascomycota; Sordariomycetes; Xylariales; Xylariaceae. The record is from RNAcentral.
GGAUUGCCCUAGUAACGGCGAGUGAAGCGGCAACAGCUCAAAUUUGAAAUCUGGCCCCUGGGCCCGAGUUGUAAUUUGUAGAGGACGCUUUUGGCGAGGUGCCUUCCGAGUUCCCUGGAACGGGACGCCUUAGAGGGUGAGAGCCCCGUACGGUUGGACGCUAAGCCUCUGUAAAGCCCCUUCGACGAGUCGAGUAGUUUGGGAAUGCUGCUCUAAAUGGGAGGUAAAUUUCUUCUAAAGCUAAAUAUUGGCCAGAGACCGAUAGCGCACAAGUAGAGUGAUCGAAAGAUGAAAAGCACUUUGAAAAGAGGGUUAAAUAGCACGUGAAAUUGUUGAAAGGGAAGCGUUUGCGACCAGACCUCUCCCCGGCGGAUCAUCCGGUGUUCUUCACUGGUGCACUUCGCCGGGCAGAGGCCAGCAUCGGUUUCCGCGGGGGGAUAAAAGCUCAGGGAACGUAGCUCCUUCGGGAGUGUUAUAGCCCUCCGCACAAUACCCCCGCGGGGACCGAGGACCGCGCCCCCGGGCAAGGAUGCUGGCGUAAUGGUCGCCAACGACCCGUCUUGAAACACGGACCAAGGAGUCGAACAUUUGUGCGAGUGUUUGGGUGUCAAACCCUCACGCGCAAUGAAAGUGAACGGAGGUGAGAGCCCCUAGGGGUGCAUCAUCGACCGAUCCUGAUGUCUUCGGAUGGAUUUGAGUAAGAGCAUAACUGUUCGGACCCGAAAGAUGGUGAACUAUGCGUGGAUAGGGUGAAGCCAGAGGAAACUCUGGUGGAGGCUCGCAGCGGUUCUGACGUGCAAAUCGAUCGUCAAAUCUGCGCAUGGGGGCGAAAGACUUAUCGAACCAUCUAGUAGCUGGUUACCGCCGAAGUUUCCCUCAGGAUAGCAGUGUUGUUCUUCAGUUUUAUGAGGUAAAGCGAAUGAUUAGGGACUCGGGGGCGCUUUUUAGCCUUCAUCCAUUCUCAAACUUUAAAUAUGUAAGAAGCCCUUGUUGCUUAGUUGAACGUGGGCAUUCGAAUGUACCAACACUAGUGGGCCAUUUUUGGUAAGCA